GUGACUGCGUACCUUUUGUAUAAUGGGUCAGCGACUUAUAUUCUGUAGCAAGGUUAACCGAAUAGGGGAGCCGGAGGGAAACCGAGUCUUAAUUGGGCGUUAAGUUGCAGGGUAUAGACCCGAAACCCGGUGAUCUAGCCAUGGGCAGGUUGAAGGUUGGGUAACACUAACUGGAGGACCGAACCGACUAAUGUUGAAAAAUUAGCGGAUGACCUGUGGCUGGGGGUGAAAGGCCAAUCAAACCGGGAGAUAGCUGGUUCUCCCCGAAAGCUAUUUAGGUAGCGCCUCGUGAAUUCAUCUCCGGGGGUAGAGCACUGUUUCGGCUAGGGGGCCAUCCCGGCUUACCAACCCGAUGCAAACUGCGAAUACCGGAGAAUGUUAUCACGGGAGACACACGGCGGGUGCUAACGUCCGUCGUGAAGAGGGAAACAACCCAGACCGCCAGCUAAGGUCCCAAAGUCAUGGUUAAGUGGGAAACGAUGUGGGAAGGCCCAGACAGCCAGGAUGUUGGCUUAGAAGCAGCCAUCAUUUAAAGAAAGCGUAAUAGCUCACUGGUCGAGUCGGCCUGCGCGGAAGAUGUAACGGGGCUAAACCAUGCACCGAAGCUGCGGCAGCGACGCUGAUGCGUUGUUGGGUAGGGGAGCGUUCUGUAAGCCUGUGAAGGUGGCCUGUGAGGGUUGCUGGAGGUAUCAGAAGUGCGAAUGCUGACAUAAGUAACGAUAAAGCGGGUGAAAAGCCCGCUCGCCGGAAGACCAAGGGUUCCUGUCCAACGUUAAUCGGGGCAGGGUGAGUCGACCCCUAAGGCGAGGCCGAAAGGCGUAGUCGAUGGGAAACGGGUUAAUAUUCCCGUACUUGGUGUUACUGCGAAGGGGGGACGGAGAAGGCUAUGUUGGCCGGGCGACGGUUGUCCCGGUUUAAGCGUGUAGGUGUGUGUUCCAGGUAAAUCCGGUUCACUUUAACACUGAGGCGUGAUGACGAGGCACUACGGUGCUGAAGCAACAAAUGCCCUGCUUCCAGGAAAAGCCUCUAAGCAUCAGGUAACAUCAAAUCGUACCCCAAACCGACACAGGUGGUCAGGUAGAGAAUACCAAGGCGCUUGAGAGAACUCGGGUGAAGGAACUAGGCAAAAUGGUGCCGUAACUUCGGGAGAAGGCACGCUGACACGUAGGUGAAGUGAUUUACUCAUGGAGCUGAAGUCAGUCGAAGAUACCAGCUGGCUGCAACUGUUUAUUAAAAACACAGCACUGUGCAAACACGAAAGUGGACGUAUACGGUGUGACGCCUGCCCGGUGCCGGAAGGUUAAUUGAUGGGGUCAGCGCAAGCGAAGCUCCUGAUCGAAGCCCCGGUAAACGGCGGCCGUAACUAUAACGGUCCUAAGGUAGCGAAAUUCCUUGUCGGGUAAGUUCCGACCUGCACGAAUGGCGUAAUGAUGGCCAGGCUGUCUCCACCCGAGACUCAGUGAAAUUGAACUCGCUGUGAAGAUGCAGUGUACCCGCGGCAAGACGGAAAGACCCCGUGAACCUUUACUAUAGCUUGACACUGAACAUUGAGCCUUGAUGUGUAGGAUAGGUGGGAGGCUUUGAAGUGUGGACGCCAGUCUGCAUGGAGCCGGCCUUGAAAUACCACCCUUUAAUGUUUGAUGUUCUAACGUGGACCCGUGAUCCGGGUUGCGGACAGUGUCUGGUGGGUAGUUUGACUGGGGCGGUCUCCUCCUAAAGAGUAACGGAGGAGCACGAAGGUUGGCUAAUCCUGGUCGGACAUCAGGAGGUUAGUGCAAUGGCAUAAGCCAGCUUGACUGCGAGCGUGACGGCGCGAGCAGGUGCGAAAGCAGGUCAUAGUGAUCCGGUGGUUCUGAAUGGAAGGGCCAUCGCUCAACGGAUAAAAGGUACUCCGGGGAUAACAGGCUGAUACCGCCCAAGAGUUCAUAUCGACGGCGGUGUUUGGCACCUCGAUGUCGGCUCAUCACAUCCUGGGGCUGAAGUAGGUCCCAAGGGUAUGGCUGUUCGCCAUUUAAAGUGGUACGCGAGCUGGGUUUAGAACGUCGUGAGACAGUUCGGUCCCUAUCUGCCGUGGGCGCUGGAGAACUGAGGGGGGCUGCUCCUAGUACGAGAGGACCGGAGUGGACGCAUCACUGGUGUUCGGGUUGUCAUGCCAAUGGCACUGCCCGGUAGCUAAAUGCGGAAGAGAUAAGUGCUGAAAGCAUCUAAGCACGAAACUUGCCCCGAGAUGAGUUCUCCCUGAGACUUUAGGUCUCCUGAAGGAACGUUGAAGACGACGACGUUGAUAGGCCGGGUGUGUAAGCGCAGCGAUGCGUUGAGCUAACCGGUACUAAUGAACCGUGAGGCUUAACCUUACAACGCCGAAG
Molecule: ribosomal RNA, 2366 nt
Filed under: Salmonella enterica subsp. enterica serovar Javiana
Lineage: Bacteria; Pseudomonadati; Pseudomonadota; Gammaproteobacteria; Enterobacterales; Enterobacteriaceae
Description: bacterial LSU rRNA
Rfam family: Bacterial large subunit ribosomal RNA
Source: RNAcentral